Molecule: ribosomal RNA, 779 nt
Filed under: uncultured Neocallimastigales
Lineage: Eukaryota; Fungi; Neocallimastigomycota; Neocallimastigomycetes; Neocallimastigales
Description: partial large subunit ribosomal RNA
Rfam family: Eukaryotic large subunit ribosomal RNA
Source: RNAcentral
AGACUCUGUGCGCGUGCAUAUCAAUAAGCGGAGGAAAAGAAACUAACAAGGAUUCCCUUAGUAACGGCGAGUGAAGCGGGAAGAGCUCAAAUUUGAAAUCUUCAAGGUUUUACCUUGACGAAUUGUAGUUUAAAGAAGUGUUUUCUGUUGGAGUUUUGGUAAAAGUUCUUUGGAAUAGGACAUCAUAGAGGGUGAGAAUCCCGUAUUUGACCAUUAUUUCCAGCUGUGUGAUACACUUUCAACGAGUCGGAUUGUUUGGGAAUGCAGUCCAAAAUGGGUGGUAAAUUUCAUCUAAAGCUAAAUAUUGGCGAGAGACCGAUAGCGAACAAGUACCGUGAGGGAAAGAUGAAAAGAACUUUGAAAAGAGAGUUAAACAGUACGUGAGAUUGUCAAAAGGGAAGCGUUUGACACCAGUGUUGUUUUUCUCGAAAAUCAAUUAAAAAUGGCCGGAUUUUAGGUUGUCAUUGACCUUAAAAGCUUGUUUCACUUAUUUUUCUUGUCUUUCUUAAUGCACUUUUCGGUUAACAAGUCAACAUCAAUUUCUUUUGUUGUAAAAGGUUAAGAGGAAGGUGGCUUACGCUUCGGCGUAAGUGUUUAUAGCCUUUUAUCUCUGCAAUCGGAGAGAUUGAGGUCAGCAGCGUAGACUCCUUCGGGGGUUAGAUACACUUGUGCUAAGCUAUAGCCUUGUAUAGACAACUUGUUGACUAUGCUCAGUCAUGUAGCUUACUCGCAUGUGCUAUUUUACCUACGCUUAGGAUGUUGAACUCUAUCACACACAG